Molecule: ribosomal RNA, 820 nt
Filed under: uncultured eukaryote
Lineage: Eukaryota
Description: SSU rRNA
Rfam family: Eukaryotic small subunit ribosomal RNA
Source: RNAcentral
CGGUGUUUAACUGGCGUGAUGUGGGACGUCCUACCGGUGGGCUUAGCCUCGCGAGGGGCGGCCCAACUAAUAUCCCGUCGCGGUGCUCUUUACUGAGUGUCGAGUCGGGCCGGUACGUUUACUUUGAACAAAUUAGAGUGCUUAAAGCAGGCUAUCCUCGCCUGAAUACUGCGUGCAUGGAAUAAUGGAAUAGGACCUCGGUUCUAUUUUGUUGGUUUUCGGAACCCCGAGGUAAUGAUUAAUAGGGACAGAUGGGGGCAUUCGUAUUGCGACGUUAGAGGUGAAAUUCUUGGAUCGUCGCAAGACGGACAGAAGCGAAAGCAUUUGCCAAAAAUGUUUUCAUUAAUCAAGAACGAAAGUUAGAGGUUCGAAGGCGAUCAGAUACCGCCCUAGUUCUAACCAUAAACGAUGCCAGCUAGCGAUCCGCCGAAGUUCCUCCGAUGACUCGGCGGGCAGCUUCCGGGAAACCAAAGCUUUUGGGUUCCGGGGGAAGUAUGGUUGCAAAGCUGAAACUUAAAGGAAUUGACGGAAGGGCACCACCAGGAGUGGAGCCUGCGGCUUAAUUUGACUCAACACGGGAAACCUCACCAGGCCCAGACACCGGAAGGAUUGACAGAUUGAUAGCUCUUUCUUGAUUCGGUGGGUGGUGGUGCAUGGCCGUUCUUAGUUGGUGGAGCGAUUUGUCUGGUUAAUUCCGAUAACGAACGAGACUCUAGCCUGCUAAAUAGGCGUACCUUAUGGUAUCGCGAAGGCCCCCGGCUUCGGCCGGUGGGUUUUUACUACCAACGUACAAACAAAUCUUCUUAGAGGGACAGCGCGG